AUUGAACGCUGGCGGCAUGCCUUACACAUGCAAGUCGAACGGCAGCACGGGGGCAACCUUGGUGGCGAGUGGCGAACGGGUGAGUAAUGCAUCGGAACGUGCCCAGUAGUGGGGGGAUAACUAGUCGAAAGAUUAGCUAAUACCGCAUACGACCUACGGGUGAAAGCGGGGGACCUUUACCGGCCUCGCGCUAUCGGAGCGGCCGAUGUCUGAUUAGCUAGUUGGUGGGGUAAUGGCCCACCAAGGCGACGAUCGGUAGCUGGUCUGAGAGGAUGAUCAGCCACACUGGGACUGAGACACGGCCCAGACUCCUACGGGAGGCAG
This 324-nucleotide ribosomal RNA is filed under the name uncultured Pseudomonadota bacterium. RNAcentral's name for it is "bacterial SSU rRNA". It matches the Rfam family "Bacterial small subunit ribosomal RNA", at positions 30 to 351 of the family's 1533-position model. Lineage: Bacteria; Pseudomonadati; Pseudomonadota. The record is from RNAcentral.